UGUGACCAAAAGGUAAGCGACUCUUAAGAGUUUCAUUUCCAAAGACAAGUCAUCACAGAAUAUUACAAUUCUUCCUUAGCAAACCUGCCCCUCAGUCUGCCCCUGAGCAACAACUUUGCGCAUGCCCAUUUCAACGCAUCGCUGAAACUGGGGUUUCAGAAGAGAUUUUGCAGGGGUUCAACACCGUCUUGUACGCAUUGGAUUUCAACUGGAAAUUAGCUACUUCAAAGAUUAUCCUACCACCGUCACACGGCCUAGCACUGUGUCCCUGGGAAAUAAUGAUUCCAUACCCCUAGAUGUCAACUCUGGUCUGGUGGAGGUGAACCAAUUGGGGGCCCAGGAAAACAGCUGGCAGCCAGGCAAGUGCAAAUAAGACACUCAAAAAAAGAUAUGCUUUGUAUACAACCAUUCAAGGUAACAUUUGUUAUUUACAUCAAUGUUACAGCUAAUCUAGAAGAACCACAGUGUAUGCCAAUCAUGCUAACUCUUGUAAACUUGUUUUACUUUUUCUUUUCUUUUUUGUCUUUAAUGACAGACACAUUAC
This is a long non-coding RNA of Osmerus eperlanus (European smelt), 544 nucleotides long. RefSeq lists it as uncharacterized. Lineage: Eukaryota; Metazoa; Chordata; Actinopteri; Osmeriformes; Osmeridae. The record is from RefSeq and is a predicted model, not a curated record. The transcript has 3 exons.